AUACGUAGGGGGCUAGCGUUAUCCGGAAUUACUGGGCGUAAAGGGUGCGUAGGUGGUUUCUUAAGUCAGAAGUGAAAGGCUACGGCUCAACCGUAGUAAGCUUUUGAAACUAAGAGACUUGAGUGCAGGAGAGGAGAGUAGAAUUCCUAGUGUAGCGGGGAAAUGCGUAGAUAUUAGGAGGAAUACCAGUUGCGAAGGCGGCUCUCUGGACUGUAACUGACACUGAGGCACGAAAGCGUGGGGAGCAAACAGGAUUAGAUACCCUGGUAGUCCACGCCGUAAACGAUGAGUACUAGCUGUCGGGGGUUACCCCCCUCGGUGGCGCAGCUAACGCAUUAAGUAUUCCACCUGGGGAGUACGCCGGCAACGGUGAAACUCAAAUGAAUUGGCGGGG
RNAcentral lists this ribosomal RNA (394 nucleotides) under uncultured bacterium. RNAcentral describes it as "partial 16S ribosomal RNA". It matches the Rfam family "Bacterial small subunit ribosomal RNA", at positions 523 to 918 of the family's 1533-position model. The record is from RNAcentral.